UACGAAGGGUGCAAGCGUUACUCGGAAUUACUGGGCGUAAAGCGUGCGUAGGUGGCCUGUUAAGUCUGAUGUGAAAGCCCCGGGCUCAACCUGGGAAUUGCAUUGGAUACUGGCAGGCUAGAGUGCGGUAGAGGGUAGUGGAAUUCCCGGUGUAGCAGUGAAAUGCGUAGAGAUCGGGAGGAACACCAGUGGCGAAGGCGACUACCUGGACCAGCACUGACACUGAGGCGCGAAAGCUAGGGUAGCAAGCGGG
This 253-nucleotide ribosomal RNA is filed under the name uncultured bacterium. Its description in RNAcentral is "partial 16S ribosomal RNA". It matches the Rfam family "Bacterial small subunit ribosomal RNA", at positions 524 to 776 of the family's 1533-position model. The record is from RNAcentral.